GGGCUUGUAGCGCAGUGGUAGCGCGUCUGCUUUGCAUGCUGAAGGUCUUGGGUUCGAUCCCCAACAAGUCCA
Delphinella strobiligena is the source of this 72-nucleotide non-coding RNA. The record is from the annotation of a GenBank genome assembly. NCBI's taxonomy places the organism in Eukaryota, Fungi, Ascomycota, Dothideomycetes, Dothideales, Dothioraceae.